This 301-nucleotide ribosomal RNA is filed under the name uncultured bacterium. RNAcentral describes it as "partial 16S ribosomal RNA". It matches the Rfam family "Bacterial small subunit ribosomal RNA", at positions 509 to 807 of the family's 1533-position model. The record is from RNAcentral.
CAGUCGCCGCGGGAAAACAGAGGGUGCAAGCGUUAAUCGGAAUUACUGGGCGUAAAGCGCGCGUAGGUGGUUUGUUAAGUUGGAUGUGAAAUCCCCGGGCUCAACCUGGGAACUGCAUCCAAAACUGGCAAGCUAGAGUAUGGUAGAGGGUGGUGGAAUUUCCUGUGUAGCGGUGAAAUGCGUAGAUAUAGGAAGGAACACCAGUGGCGAAGGCGACCACCUGGACUGAUACUGACACUGAGGUGCGAAAGCGUGGGGAGCAAACAGGAUUAGAUACCCCCGUAGUCCCUGUCUCUUAUAC